This 506-nucleotide ribosomal RNA is filed under the name uncultured bacterium. RNAcentral describes it as "partial 16S ribosomal RNA". It matches the Rfam family "Bacterial small subunit ribosomal RNA", at positions 29 to 523 of the family's 1533-position model. The record is from RNAcentral.
AGUGAACGCUGGCGGUAGGCCUAACACAUGCAAGUCGAACGGCAGCACAGAGGAGCUUGCUCCUUGGGUGGCGAGUGGCGGACGGGUGAGGAAUACAUCGGAAUCUACUCUGUCGUGGGGGAUAACGUAGGGAAACUUACGCUAAUACCGCAUACGACCUACGGGUGAAAGCAGGGGACCUUCGGGCCUUGCGCGAUUGAAUGAGCCGAUGUCGGAUUAGCUAGUUGGCGGGGUAAAGGCCCACCAAGGCGACGAUCCGUAGCUGGUCUGAGAGGAUGAUCAGCCACACUGGAACUGAGACACGGUCCAGACUCCUACGGGAGGCAGCAGUAGGGAAUAUUGGACAAUGGGCGCAAGCCUGAUCCAGCCAUACCGCGUGGGUGAAGAAGGCCCUCGGGUUGUAAAGCCCUUUUGUUGGGAAAGAAAUCCAGCUGGCUAAUACCCGGUUGGGAUGACGGUACCCAAAGAAUAAGCACCGGCUAACUUCGUGCCAGCAGCCGCCGUAA